Molecule: small RNA, 668 nt
Filed under: Pongo abelii (Sumatran orangutan)
Lineage: Eukaryota; Metazoa; Chordata; Mammalia; Primates; Hominidae
Description: retained intron
Source: RNAcentral
CUCGCUGGCCUACUGUCUCCGCCCCCACGGCGCCGGAAUCCCAGCUCCACUUACCAGGCCGCGGCUACCCCGUCGCCCCCGCCACUCCCGCCACCCCGCUCUCCCAGGCUCUUCAGGAUCCAAGUUUGUAGGCCCUUUAAGGGGUCUAGUUGCCCUUUGCGGGGCCCUGGGACUUUGGUCCCAGACAGGGGGGAUCCGGAUGGCUUCCGUGCGGAUCCGAGAGGCCAAGGAGGGAGACUGUGGGGAUAUCCUGAGGUUGAUUCGGGUGAAGACUGUGGGCCGGAACUAGCCGAGUUCGAAAAACUCUCGGAUCAGGUGAAGAUCAGUGAGGAAGGUGGGGGCUCAGCGCCCAGGUUCUGGCGGAGGCUGGGGAGGAAAUAAGGGAUGGGUUCCCCAGGCGACAGCUCCAGGCUGGGCAUACACCCAGGUCCUCUUUCUCUAUCUCUUUGUUACAACUCCAAUCUCGGCAGCCCUGAGAGCAGAUGGCUUUGGAGAGAAUCCUUUCUAUCACUGUUUGGUAGCAGAGAUUCUUCCAGCGCCCGGGGAGCUACUGGGGCCCUGCGUGGUGGGCUAUGGGAUAUACUAUUUCAUCUACAGUACAUGGAAGGGACGCACCAUUUAUCUGGAGGAUAUCUAUGUGAUGCCGGAAUAUCGGGGUCAAGGGAUUG